UAUGAUGUUUUUAUAGAGGUACACGUUGUUUCAUUAUUUUUAUUCAAUGAGCAUCUUUUACGGCGAUAGGAGAAAAUUUCAUUAAAUAUUUUUAAAUUAUAUAGAUAUAUCAAGAACCUUGGUGGAGUCCUCUAUAUGGUCCCUUGCUUCUCUAUCAACCACUUCUUAAUUAUUUAGUUUUCAAUGAAGAAUUCUUUUCCAUGAGGUCCCCUUAGGUAGGUAAUUUUCUUUUAUCAAAAAAUUGAUAUUAGUAUUAUUUGUGUUCAACCCUAAAACAUGAAAUGUCAAAUGGAACACUUUAGUCUAUUAAUGAUAUAUAUGGCAUGCAUUUAACUAUCAUCCUAAUCUAGUGUAUAUAUAGUUGGUACUUGAUUAUCUGUAAUUUCACCUAUGAAUUGCUAGUAGAUCAUUAUUUUAUUAUUAAACAUGUUUCAUUGUGGAUUUUCCUUAAAGGAUGAACUUAUCAGAAGAUUGCAAAUGUUUUACAAGAGAGCAAAUGGAAGAUCACCAUUUACUGAGGCUUGAUAUAUAUGAAGCAAAAUAUAGAAGGCUAUACUAUCAGAUCAAUGAUUUACCAGGAAAACCGGUGGCGAUUUACAAAAAUUGAACCAUCAACCAAAAAUUAUGCUGUCAGAAGAUUGAGAUGAGAAGGAUAGACAGAUAAUCCUGCUCGAAAUGUAACAUUUUCCAAGCAUCAUUCUUCUAGGCAAGCAAUAGGUUGGAUGAGUUCUACCCAAAUCCCUAACAGGCCUCUCAAAGAAACAACCCAGAGAAGGGGGAAGCAGCAUACCGAUCAUUUAUUCCUGAGAAGGAAAAGAAAAAUAGUGAGGAAAUGCAAAAGAGGGUAGAUAGGUGACAACCAUGGCACCUCAAUUUUAUGGAGCUUUUCACUACUACAGAACUGAAAUGGUUUCAAAUAAGAGUCAAUGGCCUAUAGUUUUAGCUGGAAUAUAUCAGUGGGUUUCCCAAGAGAGGUGUCUAUGACGAUGAUGAUGACGACAACAACGACGACAGCAACAACAACAAUAACGUUGCACCUAACAAUGAAGAACAGGUCCCAUUCACUCGCAGGCUCGUGAACUCUGCUACCAUUUCAGAAGAUUUAAUUUUCUCUUGUCUUCUUACUAUUGUGUUUCUAACUUGUUAGCGUGUGUUGGCAUAUUAUGAUGGCAAAAGAUCUGAAAAGGCACAUUGACAAUGUAAAAGAUGGUUCUGUCACAAUCUAUUGAGAUCAGU
This is a long non-coding RNA of Macadamia integrifolia, 1236 nucleotides long. RefSeq lists it as uncharacterized. The transcript is spliced from 3 exons. Lineage: Eukaryota; Viridiplantae; Streptophyta; Magnoliopsida; Proteales; Proteaceae. The record is from RefSeq and is a predicted model, not a curated record.